RNAcentral lists this unclassified non-coding RNA (237 nucleotides) under plant metagenome. Its description in RNAcentral is "partial contains small subunit ribosomal RNA and internal transcribed spacer 1". The stretch from base 1 to 47 matches the Rfam family "Eukaryotic small subunit ribosomal RNA", at positions 1785 to 1831 of the family's 1831-position model. The record is from RNAcentral.
AAAGUCGUAACAAGGUUUCCGUAGGUGAACCUGCGGAAGGAUCAUUAAAGAGUUAGGGUCCUAGUGGCCCAACCUCCAACCCUCUGUUGUUAAAACUACCUUGUUGCUUUUGGCGGGACCGUUCGGUCUUUGAAGCGCCGGUUUUAACCUUCGGGUUGGCGAGCGCCCGCCAGAGUCCAACCAAACUCUUGUAUUAAACCAGUCGUCUGAGUAUAAAAUUUUUAAUUAAAUUAAAAC